UACAGAGGUCUCAAGCGUUGUUCGGAUUCAUUGGGCGUAAAGGGUGCGUAGGUGGCGUCGUAAGUCAGGUGUGAAAUUUCGGAGCUUAACUUCGAAACUGCAUUUGAUACUGCGGUGCUUGAGGACUGGAGAGGAGACUGGAAUUUACGGUGUAGCAGUGAAAUGCGUAGAGAUCGUAAGGAAGACCAGUGGCGAAGGCGGGUCUCUGGACAGUUCCUGACACUGAGGCACGAAGGCCAGGGGAGCAAACGGG
RNAcentral lists this ribosomal RNA (253 nucleotides) under uncultured bacterium. Its description in RNAcentral is "partial 16S ribosomal RNA". It matches the Rfam family "Bacterial small subunit ribosomal RNA", at positions 524 to 776 of the family's 1533-position model. The record is from RNAcentral.